AGACCGAUAGCGAACAAGUACUGUGAAGGAAAGAUGAAAAGCACUUUGAAAAGAGAGUGAAACAGCACGUGAAAUUGUUGAAAGGGAAGGGUAUUGCGCCCGACAUGGAGCGUGCGCACCGCUGCCCCUCGUGGGCGGCGCUCUGGGCGUGCUCUGGGCCAGCAUCGGUUUUUGCCGCGGGAGAAGGGCGGCGGGCAUGUAGCUCUUCGGAGUGUUAUAGCCUGCCGCCGGCGCCGCGAGCGGGGACCGAGGACUGCGACUUUUGUCUCGGAUGCUGGCACAACGGCGCAACACCGCCCGUCUUGAAACACGGACCAAG
This 319-nucleotide ribosomal RNA is filed under the name Pichia fermentans. RNAcentral describes it as "eukaryotic LSU rRNA". It matches the Rfam family "Eukaryotic large subunit ribosomal RNA", at positions 331 to 670 of the family's 3401-position model. The record is from RNAcentral. Lineage: Eukaryota; Fungi; Ascomycota; Pichiomycetes; Pichiales; Pichiaceae.